This is a non-coding RNA of Acanthosepion pharaonis, 97 nucleotides long. The record is from the annotation of a GenBank genome assembly. Lineage: Eukaryota; Metazoa; Mollusca; Cephalopoda; Sepiida; Sepiidae.
UUGAAACGCUGGUUUCCAUACGAUCACUAAAGUUAAGCAACAUCAAGCCUGGUUAGUACUUAGAUGGGUGACUGUUUGGGAAUACCAGAUGCUGUAA